UACAGAGGUCUCAAGCGUUGUUCGGAUUCAUUGGGCGUAAAGGGUGCGUAGGCGGCGCGGUAAGUCGGAUGUGAAAUCUUGGAGCUUAACUCCGAAACUGCAUUCGAUACUGCCGUGCUUGAGGACUGGAGAGGAGACUGGAAUUUACGGUGUAGCGGUGAAAUGCGUAGAUAUCGUAAGGAAGACCAGUAGCGAAGGCGGGUCUCUGGACAGUUCCUGACGCUGAGACACGAAGGUCAGGGGAGCAAACGGG
This 253-nucleotide ribosomal RNA is filed under the name uncultured bacterium. Its description in RNAcentral is "partial 16S ribosomal RNA". It matches the Rfam family "Bacterial small subunit ribosomal RNA", at positions 524 to 776 of the family's 1533-position model. The record is from RNAcentral.